UCUAUGGUGAAAGAGAGGAAAACUGG
RNAcentral lists this non-coding RNA (26 nucleotides) under Cricetulus griseus (Chinese hamster). Lineage: Eukaryota; Metazoa; Chordata; Mammalia; Rodentia; Cricetidae. The record is from RNAcentral.